GUAGCUAUGUACGGAAGGGAUAAGCGCUGAAAGCAUCUAAGCGUGAAGCCCCCCUCAAGAUGAGAUUUCCCAGUAUGUAAGACCCCUUGAAGACGACGAGGUAGAUAGGUUGGGGGUGGAAGUGCAGUAAUGCAUGGAGCUGACCAAUACUAAUCGGUCGAGGGCUUAUCCUAA
Molecule: ribosomal RNA, 174 nt
Filed under: Paenibacillus polymyxa
Lineage: Bacteria; Bacillati; Bacillota; Bacilli; Caryophanales; Paenibacillaceae
Description: partial 23S ribosomal RNA
Rfam family: Bacterial large subunit ribosomal RNA
Source: RNAcentral